GAUGAACGCUGGCGGCGUGCCUAAUACAUGCAAGUCGAGCGAACAGACGAGGAGCUUGCUCCUCUGACGUUAGCGGCGGACGGGUGAGUAACACGUGGAUAACCUACCUAUAAGACUGGGAUAACUUCGGGAAACCGGAGCUAAUACCGGAUAAUAUAUUGAACCGCAUGGUUCAAUAGUGAAAGACGGUUUUGCUGUCACUUAUAGAUGGAUCCGCGCCGCAUUAGCUAGUUGGUAAGGUAACGGCUUACCAAGGCGACGAUGCGUAGCCGACCUGAGAGGGUGGUCGGCCACACUGGAACUGAGACACGGUCCAGACUCCUGCGGGAGGCAGCAGUAGGGAAUCUUCCGGAAUGGGCGAAAGCCUGACGGAGCAACGCCGCGUGAGUGAUGAAGGUCUUCGGAUCGUAAAACUCUGUUAUUGGGGAAGAACAAAUGUGUAAGUAACUGUGCACGUCUUGACGGUACCUAAUCAGAAAGCCACGGCUAACUACGUG
This 497-nucleotide ribosomal RNA is filed under the name uncultured bacterium. RNAcentral's name for it is "partial 16S ribosomal RNA". It matches the Rfam family "Bacterial small subunit ribosomal RNA", at positions 28 to 507 of the family's 1533-position model. The record is from RNAcentral.